UUUUCCUUCCGGUACGCCCAUGCCUGCAUGGCCUAUUACCUUUAACUAUAAGAAUGUUAAAAUGAUGUUUAUGAACUAUAGCAGUUUAAUGGUACAAAAAACCCAUAUAAUUAUAGACAGGCAGUUCAGUACUCACGCUUGUAUUGUCGCACUAUAAAUCAUACUUUAUACUUUAGAACUGUUCUUUAGUCAUGUAGCGAUGAGUAGUACCACCACGGGCUUUAGAACCAAUUCAAUUUGACAACGGUAGUAUUCUGUCUAUAGCAGUUAAAAUAGAGUGUAUGGUACCUGAAUUAUUCAAUAUCUUGCUUGACAGUACUUCGAUCUAAAUCCAUAAAUACAUUUACAUAUUAUGCAAAUACUGGAUAUUUUCAAAUCCGCCAUUGUCAUAGAACCCAAGCACAGCAAGCUUUCGCGGGUCACGCCCGUGAUUUGCACUGAUAAUAGGAGGGUAAGAUCAUCCAAUUUUUUCAUUGUUCGAAGCGAGAGGAAAUGAUAGCUCCAUAUAUGGCACAAAUGUGUCCCCAACUUACUUAUAUGGCACAAACGUGUCCCUAGAAUAUUUUAUCGACGUUGCCAUCUUGUCAUAAAAUUCCUCACACUCGGAACGAAUUGAACAGG
Non-coding RNA from Paramuricea clavata, 621 nucleotides. Lineage: Eukaryota; Metazoa; Cnidaria; Anthozoa; Malacalcyonacea; Plexauridae. The record is from the annotation of a GenBank genome assembly.